UAUAUAAAUAACUGUGUAUAAAUAAAAUCUAAUUAAUUAGCUAAAUGUUCACCAAGUCAUGUUUACACAAAUUUCAACUUGUACACCACUAUAAAAAAUAAUAUGCGGUAUGAUUGCAAAUGAGACAACUUUUCACCAGUGACAAAAUGAUAUGGAAGUUAGCAACUCAAGGUUCAAUAAUUUCUGUUUACAAAAAACAUGAUGCACAUCAAGAUCUGUUUUAAAAAAUCACAAUACAUGUCUGUACAGAAUUUUAUUUCUGGUAAUUUCAUUCAAAGUAAAUGGACGAAUAUUUAAAAAAAAGUUUGAUUUUUGCAUUUAAAAAAAAUGUCAUCAAAUACAGCAUUCAGUCUCGUGCAUUUAGCUUUCCGAUCUCAGCUUUGUCACACAAACAUAUACAUACAAAGACUUACAAACACGCGCACCUAUUAAAAAUACAAAAUGCAUAGAUCAGCACACUUAGAUAAUAAUUCAAUUUGUACAAAUGCAAACAGGUUUUCUUUUAAAGUAAAAUAAAAAACAAAAACAAAAAAAAACAAAAAAAAAACAAAAAAAAACAGAAAGCAUAUACAACUCUACAAUUUUGUUUUAACCGUAAUUUCUGUCUAGAAAUAGAAAAUAAAAAAGUUACUCAUUGUUUGAUCAAGUUAAACUUAAUAUUAUAAAGGUUUUUUUUUUUCAUUUAGAGAUUGCCUGACUGAUAAUGAUACAACAUGCAAUACCACAUAUCAAAGAAAUAACUUGCUUUUGUUGGUUGCUUUUCAUCAUGAUAAUACGUUUUUAACUAUGAUCUCGAGAUUCCAUAUCGAUGACAUAAUUGAUUCUAUAUUUUUUUCAAAUACUUAUUUGCAAGAAUUGUUGCAACUCUUGGUAACCCCAGCAUGAAUAUCUAAGAAACAUUUAAUCCAACAUAAGCAUCUAAGAAACAUGUAAUCCAACAUAAAUAUCUAACAAUCAUUUAACCCAACAAUUAAUUUAGAAUGAUGUUAUAUACAGAUAAUAACAAUAAUAGCAACAGGUAAAGCAUUCACCAUAAACAAGUUCAUCAACAACAAUAGUCACGCAUAAGUAUGUAUUAAUUAAAUCUGCAUCUGCAAAUAUGUGCGCUAAAUACUUUUGAAUGUUAGAAUGACAAAACUUCUUACACUUAAACACCACAAUGUCCAAAAGGCUUUUCCCAAAGGAACAAUUAUGAUCGAUGUCCAACGCUUUAAUUUCCGAUCAGUUUGCAUGACCUUUUAUUCUCUAAACAAAAUUUAAAAAAAAGCGUUGAUUGAAACAUGCCCAAUUAUGUAUGUUGUAAAAUAAGUUUCCUUUUUCACUUAUGCUGAGUUCACACGUAAUUUGAAUUCGAUUCGCAUUAACUAAUUCGAAUUAGUUUAAUUCGCAUUCUAAACGUUUAACGUCCUUACGUCAAUUCUAAUUCGCAUUGCAAUGCGCGUCAAAUUCCAUCUACUAUCCGAACGACGUAAACUUUUAAUUCGUAUUAACAAAAACGUAUUUCUAAAGCGAAUUGGGUUAUUCGAAUUAGCUAAUUCGAACCAAUUCGAAUUAAAGAAGAA
Molecule: long non-coding RNA, 1562 nt
Filed under: Mytilus galloprovincialis (Mediterranean mussel)
Lineage: Eukaryota; Metazoa; Mollusca; Bivalvia; Mytilida; Mytilidae
Source: RNAcentral